Molecule: ribosomal RNA, 253 nt
Filed under: uncultured bacterium
Lineage: Bacteria
Description: partial 16S ribosomal RNA
Rfam family: Bacterial small subunit ribosomal RNA
Source: RNAcentral
UACGAAGGGGGCUAGCGUUGUUCGGAUUUACUGGGCGUAAAGCGCACGUAGGCGGAUUGUUAAGUCAGGGGUGAAAUCCCGGAGCUCAACUCCGGAACUGCCUUUGAUACUGGCAAUCUUGAGGCUGGAAGAGGUUAGUGGAAUUCCCAGUGUAGAGGUGAAAUUCGUAGAUAUUGGGAAGAACACCAGCGGCGAAGGCGGCUAACUGGUCCAGAUCUGACGCUGAGGUGCGAAAGCGUGGGGAGCAAACAGG